AGCUCCAAUAGCGUAUAUUAAAGUUGUUGCAGUUAAAAAGCUCGUAGUUGGACUUCUGGCAUGCUGCGCCUGGCCCGCCCGCGUUAGCGGUGUGAGUGCCGGUUUGCGCGGUUGCCAUCCUUCAGAAAAUCCGGCCUGCCUUUUGUUAGGUUGGGUCGGCGAUUCUGAUCGUUUACUUUGAAAAAAUUAGAGUGUUUAAAGCAGGCAAUUGCUGUGAAUACAUUAGCAUGGAAUAAUAAUAUAGGACUUUGGUUCUAUUUUGUUGGUUUCUAGGACUAAAGUAAUGAUUGAUAGGGAUAGUUGGGGGUGCUAGUAUUGAGUGGCCAGAGGUGAAAUUUUCGGACUCACUCAAGACUAACUUAUGCGAAAGCAUUCACCAAGGAUGUCUUCU
RNAcentral lists this ribosomal RNA (391 nucleotides) under uncultured eukaryote. Its description in RNAcentral is "SSU rRNA". It matches the Rfam family "Eukaryotic small subunit ribosomal RNA", at positions 587 to 972 of the family's 1831-position model. The record is from RNAcentral.